Gekko japonicus is the source of this 139-nucleotide long non-coding RNA. RefSeq lists it as uncharacterized. NCBI's taxonomy places the organism in Eukaryota, Metazoa, Chordata, Lepidosauria, Squamata, Gekkonidae. The transcript has 3 exons. The record is from RefSeq and is a predicted model, not a curated record.
AGCCUGUGAGCAAAGAAAAGCCAGUGGAACAGAAAGUGGAAGCUGGUGGCCUGGAUCCAGGGCAAGAAAGGAGCAAAGGGGCUUAAGUACCUCUGAAGCAAAUGAAGACCCCAGAGCAUCUCCUUGUACAGACCAAGUG